Eurytemora carolleeae is the source of this 186-nucleotide long non-coding RNA. RefSeq lists it as uncharacterized. The transcript is spliced from 3 exons. The record is from RefSeq and is a predicted model, not a curated record. NCBI's taxonomy places the organism in Eukaryota, Metazoa, Arthropoda, Copepoda, Calanoida, Temoridae.
GGAAUAAGGAAGAAUUGCAGUCCGCAGUGUUCACAGGACACAUUUAAAAGGAGAAGUUACACUGUACAUGGAGAACUUGAAACCUGAUAAACACUAAUUGGAUACAUUUGGAUCAGCGUGUGAGAAAACCAAACCGCCAUCAAAUCUUCACAGCUAGAUGAUCAAGAAAUAAAUUCUAAAAGUAUG